This 253-nucleotide ribosomal RNA is filed under the name uncultured bacterium. Its description in RNAcentral is "partial 16S ribosomal RNA". It matches the Rfam family "Bacterial small subunit ribosomal RNA", at positions 524 to 776 of the family's 1533-position model. The record is from RNAcentral.
UACGGAGGGGGCUAGCGUUGUUCGGAAUUACUGGGCGUAAAGCGCACGUAGGCGGCUUUGUAAGUUAGAGGUGAAAGCCCAGGGCUCAACCCUGGAAUUGCCUUUAAGACUGCAUCGCUUGAAUCCAGGAGAGGUGAGUGGAAUUCCGAGUGUAGAGGUGAAAUUCGUAGAUAUUCGGAAGAACACCAGUGGCGAAGGCGGCUCACUGGACUGGUAUUGACGCUGAGGUGCGAAAGCGUGGGGAGCAAACAGG